MicroRNA precursor from Vulpes vulpes (red fox), 67 nucleotides. Ensembl annotates it as microRNA 363. Its record names the gene MIR363. The record is from Ensembl. NCBI's taxonomy places the organism in Eukaryota, Metazoa, Chordata, Mammalia, Carnivora, Canidae.
UCGGGUGGAUCACGAUGCAAUUUUGAUGAGUAUAAUAGGAGAAAAAUUGCACGGUAUCCAUCUGUAA